RNAcentral lists this unclassified non-coding RNA (192 nucleotides) under uncultured fungus. RNAcentral's name for it is "sequence contains ITS1". Lineage: Eukaryota; Fungi. The record is from RNAcentral.
GUAAUUAUUAUAAUUUUCAGACUUGGACUGCAAAUACAUGGGUGGAUUGAUACCCUGUCAAGACAUUUCUGCCCUGCUGGGUGAACAAACUGUACGCAAAAAGGCAUGGGUAACAUCAAACAGGUGGGAGUCGAAUGAAACCCACCUGCUGAAGCAAUGGUAAUGAUCCUUCCGCAGGUUCACCUACGGAAA